GUGACGUAAGCCGCAGAAUCCUCUGUCUUAGUUCGGCUCUAUUGCCGCGAGCUUGACUCUUCCUGGGUCUGAGGAAAAGUAAAAGUAAUUUUGUCAUUUCCUGAAACUUCAAGUUAAACCUUUAAGCUGUUCAUUUCCUAAAAGGGUGAAAACGCGGGCACCCCUCGAGCUAGUUCAUCGCCUUUUAACCUGUUGUUGGAUCUUUCCAGAUCACCACACCACAUCACCCAGCCACUCUGCCCAAUGGGAGGGCAGACAGUGUUCCAGUGUAGGAGGAAGGGGUGUAAGGUGCGGGCAGUUUGUGAGGAGGGCACCAACGAGAGCUACUGUGAGAAAGUCUGCAUGGUCAAAAAGUGGAUUACCAAGAACAAAGCAUCAUAAUGUUGUCCAGUGGACCCCAGAAAACUGACAACUGUUUAGAACAAAGCCAAAGAUGAAACCAAAUAUAAAACCACUGAUGAAAACUAAGUGAAAAAUAUAAGCAAAAUAGAAGAAAAAUAAGGUCGUUAUUUCAAGAAAACGAAAGACAGUCAAUGCUGUUCUUUGUAUUCACAUACAAUUUGGUUCACACCAAAAUGUGAGUUGUUCUCUAUGAGAUGUUAUUAAAUGUUCCUAAGAAGACUCGCUUUAGAAAAAAACAGUAUUCCUAAGGCAUGUCCAAUCUGUCUCUUUUCUUAAUUGCUAUAGUUCUACUUUAUUAUUAUAAUGUAUUCAGCAUUAAAAUUCAUUAUUUCCCAAUAAGCUUGACUUUAUCUUAUAAUGAAAUACAACUGUCUUCUUGGUGAUUUUUAUAGGAGAUAUUAUGGAAAUAUUUUAUUAACAGAAGUAAAUAAAGUGUCAUAUCAUUUGGCUUUUCAGCCGUGUUAUAACAUUUGCAUUUUGUUUUUUCUGCCUUUACCCUCCCUGCUUCUAGCUGCAUAAAAUAAUGCAUUUUAAAAAUAAAAAUACAUUAUUUUUCAACAUAUGUGUGACAAUAAAAAGAUCACUGGGUCAGGGGUCAGACGAUCUGAGUUCUGCCCUUUCAUUUUCUUAUCUGUAAAAAUGAUUCCUAAGAUUCCUUCUAUUACUAACAUUUUAUAAUCUACAUUCAAAUUUUAUGUGAAAGUUUAGUGCAUCCGAGAUAACUAUUUUCAAAUAAGAAUCUCUUUUGAUGCUAACAUCUAUGCAUCAAAUUCUUCAUUCUCAAGUUGUAAGUUGCUCUUUACAUAAUUUCACCUAUGUACAUAUAUUCUAUAGAAAAAAGAGACAUUCCAGUAUCUUAACAAUGUCAAAAAGGAUAUACUGACACUAACAUUAACUGGAGAUUGGAAGACUAGACAAAUCAAGGCUAGAACUACAUAAGGGAAGCUAUUCUCCCAAAUACGCUGUUUUUGCUGUUGUUUAACCAAAGAUAUCUUCCCUUUCAUUCUUCUUUUUUAAAGCUAAGGAUAUUUAAGACAUUAAUAUGUUUGGCUAACUGAUUAAUAAUUCCUUCUUUUAUAAGGAAACUAUCCUAAAAUAUAAAAAACCGAGGUUAAAGUUAUUAAUGAAAUAUGUAUGUAUUGCUGUUAUCUACAUAUCAACUCUGGCCAAAGAAUAAUUCAAUAAAAAUGAUUAUAAGCCCAUAUCCCAGAAGCUCAUUAAAGAGCCUGAUGAACACAAAUUAUACAAACCUGCUGAAAUAGAAACAUGAUCUGGAUCCAUGGCUGAGGUUCUUGGCUGAUGAGAAUAAAACUGGACUUACUGUAUAGGCAGUAAUGACCCUUCAGGGAGCAGGUGAAGAACAACUUUGCUACACAACUUCUCACAGUGUCUAGAAACAAAUACAUAUAGCGUUAAACGUUAUGGUCUUUCCAGAGUUACACUUUAUAUUGAUACUUCAACACACAAAUGCCUUUAUAAAAUAUCCUUCAGUUUUCAAACUGUGAGCUAAUAACUACAAACAACUAUAUAUUUGAGAGGGGAUCCAUUUCAUGGAAAGUAGAUUUAAAUAAAGAUUUUAAAUUAUUAUUAUUAUUGUUUUAAUUAACAAUGUUUGAAGACUCAGCAACUCCCAUGGGGGGAAAACCCUCUCACCAAUAAAAUGGGAGAUACUAUAUCAUUUUCAUCUGAUGGGAUACCUUGAAGUGAUAACCUGGGAAAAAUAAACAAAUGGAUUAAGAAAACCCAGGCAUUUUCUGGGUAGUAAAUGACUUGCCAUGAACCAUGGAUGCUGUUCUCUUGGUUGUGCAGGGGCCUCAGAGAUAGCUUCCAAAAUAACUCUGGCUGAGGUGUAGCUUCCUGUGAACUGUACUGGUCGGGUUUGAAAAGGUCAUCUCGCCUUGAAGGAUUUCAGCUGGGAGUCUUAAUGAGAUUAUCCUUUAGGGACAAGGAAGUAGUGGGUGAGUGGUGUAGAGGUGGUGAGGCACCAUGUGUAGAGAAAGAAAUAAUGAAUAAAUGAAUGAAUGAAGCAAAUAUGGGUUGAGAUUCUAUGGGCUAGGCACUGUGUUAAGUACUG
Homo sapiens (human) is the source of this 2476-nucleotide long non-coding RNA. Lineage: Eukaryota; Metazoa; Chordata; Mammalia; Primates; Hominidae. The record is from Ensembl.